RNAcentral lists this non-coding RNA (28 nucleotides) under Mus musculus (house mouse). Lineage: Eukaryota; Metazoa; Chordata; Mammalia; Rodentia; Muridae. The record is from RNAcentral.
UAUGACUUGUGCUCAACCACAUUCUGGC